UGUUUUGUGAUUUUUUUGUAUGGAGC
This 26-nucleotide non-coding RNA is filed under the name Bombyx mori (domestic silkworm). Lineage: Eukaryota; Metazoa; Arthropoda; Insecta; Lepidoptera; Bombycidae. The record is from RNAcentral.